Molecule: RNase P RNA, 348 nt
Filed under: Lachnospiraceae bacterium
Lineage: Bacteria; Bacillati; Bacillota; Clostridia; Lachnospirales; Lachnospiraceae
Description: RNase P RNA component class A
Rfam family: Bacterial RNase P class A
About the family: Ribonuclease P (RNase P) is a ubiquitous endoribonuclease, found in archaea, bacteria and eukarya as well as chloroplasts and mitochondria. Its best characterised activity is the generation of mature 5'-ends of tRNAs by cleaving the 5'-leader elements of precursor-tRNAs.
Source: RNAcentral
GAAGUAAGACAGGUAAUCGCUGCUGCAAGUGCCGCAAGGCCGCAGGAGAGGAAAGUCCGGGCUUCACAGGGCAGGAUGCUGGAUAACGUCCGGUGGGGGUGACCCCAAGGAAAGUGCAAUAGAAAAGAAACCGCCAUGGCUUGCCAUGGUAAGGGUGGAAUGGCGGUGUAAGAGACCACCGCUUCUCUGGUAACAGGGAAGGCUGUGUAAACCCCAUCCGAAGCAAGACCGAAACGAAGCUUACGUGGCCCGCCAGCUUCAGGUUGGUCGCUUGAGGCGAUUGGCAACAGUCGUCCUAGAUAGAUGAUUACUCAAUGACAUAACCCGGCUCAUCGUCUUGCUUCUUUU